This 1157-nucleotide long non-coding RNA is filed under the name Homo sapiens (human). RNAcentral's name for it is "HSALNT0228637". The record is from RNAcentral. Lineage: Eukaryota; Metazoa; Chordata; Mammalia; Primates; Hominidae.
ACGGAAGUGGCUCGCGCGUCCAAGAGGGGAGGCCUGGUGUGGGGACGCUCAGCUCACGGACACAGACCUAAUUAAACAGUGUAUAGAUGAAUGCACAGCCAGGAUUGAAAUUGGACUGCAUUACAAGAUUCCUUACCCAAGGCCAAUUCAUCUGCCUCCAAUGGGCCUUACCCCACUCCGAGGCCGGGGACUUCGAAGCCAAGAGAAACUGAGGAAACUUUCCAAACCAGUAUAUCUCAGAUCUCAUGAUGAAGUUUCCUAAUCUAGAGGAAAGUUUAUUUCUGCAAAUGAUGAGCCAACUAGUUAUUGAAUGUAAACCAGAUGGCAAAACACUUCUUGAUUAGGGGCAAAAAUUCAAAUGUCUUCUUAAAACCUCCACAAUUGAUUCUCCCCCUGUGAUGUAAACUUAGAUAUCCCUAGAGUUUCUCAGCAUCUUUCUUCCUGAGUGGAUGGCAUUAUCCCUAGAGGUCAUGGACCUUACAUCCUCACUGCAGUCACCUUUGGAAACAAGACCGAGGCCUGUAGAAGGAAAGCGGAAGGAUGUAAGAGCUGUUCAUGGGAAUUCCAUUCACCACACAUGCCAGCUGAUGCAAAGAAAUUUGCCAGUCACUGGAAGUUACUGUGGCUACUAUAAAACUAUGUACCACUCUCAGAAUAUUCUUAGGCUUUUUUUUUUUCAAGUUAUAGAUUUGCUUAAAGUGAGGUUUUUUGGUGUGUGCUUUUUUGUUGUCUUUUGACCCUUCCAGUUUCCAGACAAACUUGUCUUAAAAAGUGCAUCAUUGGAUUGACCAUGGUUUUUCAUGAAAUUUUAUGAGAUUUCUGCCUUAACAAAAUGCAUAUAUUCCUUAUCUUAAAGCCUGUCAUUACUUAGGAUGCACUUAUAGGAUCUGAAAAGCUCACUUUAAACUCAUACUACAUUCGUUACGAGUAUUUUACGUUAACAUAAUUGAAAAGUACAAGGUCCAAGCUGGCUUUCAAAUUAUGUCUAAACAGAAAUGGGACAAAUAGACUUGAAAAUAGAAGGGAUUUAUUCCACCCCUGCAAGGGUAGAGUCAGGUGAGAGUCCCUUGGUGAGUCAUUUGUACAUCAGUGUCAUUUCUUCUUAACCUCUGAAGAAGAUGGGCAUCAGAAAUAAAGACAAAGCACUAUCAAUUUUU